This 459-nucleotide ribosomal RNA is filed under the name uncultured bacterium. Its description in RNAcentral is "partial 16S ribosomal RNA". It matches the Rfam family "Bacterial small subunit ribosomal RNA", at positions 338 to 795 of the family's 1533-position model. The record is from RNAcentral.
CCUACGGGUGGCAGCAGUGAGGAAUAUUGGUCAAUGGGCGGGAGCCUGACCCAGCCAAGCCGCGUGAGGGAAGAAGGUACAGCGUAUCGUAAACCUCUUUUGUCAGGGAACAAAGACGGGGACUCGUCCCCGGAUGAGGGUACCUGAAGAAGAAGCAUCGGCUAACUCCGUGCCAGCAGCCGCGGUAAUACGGGGGAUGCGAGCGUUAUCCGGGUUGAUUGGGUUAAAGGGGUGCGCAGUGGGCCUGUUAGGUCAGCGGUAAAAGCACGGGGCUCAACCCCGGCGAGCCGUUGAAACUGGCGGGCUGGAGUUGGAGAGAAGUACGCGGAAUGCGCGGUGUAGCGGUGAAAUGCAUAGAUAUCGCGCAGAACCCCGAUUGCGAAGGCAGCGUACCGGCUCCACACUGACGCUGAGGCACGAAAGCGUGGGUAUCGAACAGGAUUAGAUACCCGUGUAGUC